GCAUUUCGGUUACAAACUUACAAAAAGAAAUAACAAACACAGAAAUUUUGAAGUUAUCAGACUAUCAGUUGAUAAAAUGCACGCAUAUUGGAUUAUUUUAGCUAUUUGUGCUGCGUCAGUUACUGCUUUUCAAGAAAGAAAACUUUGCGAAAAGUUUAAUGAAGAGAUAGCUGCUGCGUUUGA
Long non-coding RNA from Parasteatoda tepidariorum (common house spider), 183 nucleotides. NCBI's taxonomy places the organism in Eukaryota, Metazoa, Arthropoda, Arachnida, Araneae, Theridiidae. The record is from RefSeq and is a predicted model, not a curated record.